Molecule: ribosomal RNA, 253 nt
Filed under: uncultured bacterium
Lineage: Bacteria
Description: partial 16S ribosomal RNA
Rfam family: Bacterial small subunit ribosomal RNA
Source: RNAcentral
UACGGAGGGGGCUAGCGUUGUUCGGAAUUACUGGGCGUAAAGCGCGCGUAGGCGGAUCUGCAAGUCGGGGGUGAAAUCCCGAGGCUCAACCUCGGAACUGCCUUCGAUACUGCGGGUCUCGAGUCCGGGAGAGGUGAGUGGAAUUCCUAGUGUAGAGGUGAAAUUCGUAGAUAUUAGGAAGAACACCAGUGGCGAAGGCGGCUCACUGGCCCGGUACUGACGCUGAGGCGCGAAAGCCAGGGGAGCAAACGGG